GGUCGACAUUUGGACGACGAUGACCGCUAGACGCGCGCCGUAGUGAGAAUUUCGGGAAACACGAAAUUCAACCGCUGUACACCUCCGUCGAUUGGCGCGCCGCGGUCGAUGGACGAUUGAAAGAAGUGGAAAACGCCGACCGGCCGAAUAAAAUAAAAUAUUUCAAUAGACAAUAUUAUUCGACCGUCUGCGUUUUUUCAUCAAACUAUAGCGGUAAACCGAUCACCCAACCGUUUGGAC
Cinara cedri is the source of this 240-nucleotide non-coding RNA. The record is from the annotation of a GenBank genome assembly. Lineage: Eukaryota; Metazoa; Arthropoda; Insecta; Hemiptera; Aphididae.